This 8678-nucleotide long non-coding RNA is filed under the name Malus domestica (apple). RNAcentral's name for it is "long non-coding RNA (MDOM_LNC009266)". The record is from RNAcentral. Lineage: Eukaryota; Viridiplantae; Streptophyta; Magnoliopsida; Rosales; Rosaceae.
AAGGAACAAAGGGCUUGGAGGUGGUCCAUCCUUGGUCUCAAGUCUAGAUCAAGAGGUAUAAGAAUAAACCUUCACUUUGUUCUUCUCUAUAAAAUUGUUUUGAUGCAUUAUAUAUAAACCUAUGAACCUUGAAGGGGAUUUGCAUGACUAUAGCUUUGAUAAUUUGUUAUAAAUGCUUCCACUGUUUUCGUAUAUUAAAUUUUGAUUUGUAUAUGCAUGAUAGUCCUUUUGAAAUCCCAUUCUAGAAUCUCAUAAAUUUCCCUUCAAGUGGUAUCAGAGCCAAAGGUUUAUGUAUAAUGUGUCCUUUUGGAUUUUAUGCAUAUGGGUAUUAAUGUUAUGUAUGACAUAUUAUUGUUUCAUUCAAAGUAUGUUUAUCUUUUGUUUUUCAAUAGUUGAAAAAUGUUAGUCAAAAGUUGAGAAAGAUAUGUAUGCAAAAGUGUUUUGUAUGCAUGAAUGAAAAAUGAGUUUAGAACUAGUUUGACAUAUUAUUUCUUCAUUUAAAAGUAUGUUUGUCUUUUGUUUUUCAAUGGUUGAAAAAUAUAAAUCAAGAGUUGAAAAAGAUAUGCAUGUAAAAAGGUGUUUUAGAUGCAUGAAUGAAGAAUAAGUCAUGAACAAAAUUAAGGGUUUUGAACCAAAGGGAUGGCACGGUUUUGGGGGUGGUUUUGGGUUGUGUUUGUGUUUUAUUGUAAACCACUCUCACAUCCUUUUAAAGCUAGAAAGAAGAAACCUUGUCACUUUUGCUUUUGGGUUUGAAAAAUCACCAAGAAUACACAAAUCUUGAAAAAGUGUUCAUGGUUUUGUUCUUGGUGUUCAUAGUUUGGUUUUUGAUGAAAAUGGUUUUAAUGCAUUGUUUUGUGGUUUUGGGUGAUGAUCAUACCAUCCAUAACCAUAUCAUAUACUUAUAAAACCCUAGACUUGACUAGGAGAUUUCCAUCAAACCUUUUCACCUAAGUUUUAAAUGCCAAAACCAAGUGACAAGCAAAAUUUUGAUUUUUCUACUUUGCAUUGAAUUAAAGCAUGUGGAUGAGACUUCCCAUUCCCCCAUUAAGUGGCCGGCCACCCUAGUGGAUUUGUCCACUUGGGGGGGUCUUUUGUAAUCUUUGAAAAGUUGAUAUUUUAUACUUUUGAGUAUUUACGGUUUUACCCCUAACUUUUCAUAUUUACAUUUAGGCCCCUACUAACUAGAAAGUUAAAAUAUUUGAUUUUAAUUUUGUUAGUUGUUUAAACUCAUAAUUAUAUUAUGCCCAUAUGCACUAAAUCAAAAUGUUUAUGUUGCAUUCCAUUAUGAUUAUUUAAAUGUGUUUAAGUAGUUUUAAAAUGGGUGACUAUGGACUUAUGCCUUAAACGAUAAUUGAGCUAUGAGAUAAGGCGCUAAAAUCAAAUUGUUUGAACCUUGGGAAUGUGUUUUAAUUACUGUUUAAUUGGACCUUGUCACGUUUGACGUUAAUCUUUCUCUCCCCUUUUAGUAUAUGUAAUUUAUAGGAAUUUGUACAAAUCGGUUUGUAAUUCUUAUUACUUCUUAAUCUCUAUUCGUUAGUUGAUUCCCUCUAGUGCUAGACUAGAGUUUCUUUAACGAUUGGUAAGGAGACAUAACUGAAAGAGGGUUUUGACAUGAGAUUAAAGAUUAAAUGGGUCCAAUGCCCUAAUUAGCAAUGAAUGAUUGUCUUUCAUUUCUAAUGGCUCAAUGAAAAUGUUUUAAUUGGAUUGAUAAGCACGUAAUUAAAUUGACACAACCUCCCCGAGUUUAUAUUCAACAAUGAUGGCUCGUUGUUGCAAUAACCUUAUAGUCCAUGGUCAUCCAAGAGCCUAAGAUAACUAUAAAGUCCAAAUUCAAAGGAAUGCAAAAACCUUAGUAGUAGUAGUUACUUCCAAUAUUUGAAAAAUCCGUUUUUGAUAUUGAUUUGUUUUUCUCAAAACAAAUAGUGGGAGUAUCAUACGCUACUAAACUAUAAUGAAUACAAUUAGUAGUUAUAUAUAUCUCCAAUAUUUUGAAAAAUGUUUUGAUAUUGAUUUGUUUUAUGAAAACAAAUAGUGGGGAUAUCAUAUGCUACUAAUUUCAUUAACUUUGGACUAGUAGUUAUAAUAGGACAAUUUAUUUGAUUGUGAUUAAAUAAAUAAAAUGAUGAGACCUUAAAAUCCCUCAACCAAACAAUAUUAAGUUGUAAGCGUAAGAGUGCUUUGAACACUUUUUCGUGGCCUUCCACCGUGGUAGGCUCCAAGCGUUUAUGACUUGUACACCGCCUUCACCCUAUAAUGGGGAAGUGACAAAGUGCAUGCUUAUAUUCAGGAGGAGCUUAUUUAAAACAUUUGAUGAGGUUAAGGUAGGCAACGAGUGUGGCCAACAUCGUAUAAUCGUGAGGUCAUGCUUGAACCCCUAUCUAAACCGGCAUGGUGGGAAAGAACUUAACUAAGAGUAAUGGUGUAACAUCGUAUAAUCGUGAGGCAUUAUUCUCUAGAGGCCAAAAAGAUGGGUAAUCACAAGAGGUUGUUGUGAAUGGGUAAGCGUACCCUCUCAUUAUUAUUUUUGCUAGCCAACAUCGUAUAAUCGUGAGGUGGGCUUGGUAAUAGUGAGUCUCCCAUAACCCGCAAGGAGCUUUCUUGGAAAUCUCCCGGAUUCCAUUAUGGGGGAUAUGGAAUUUGCCAAAAAUGGUGGGUGGUGUCAUUCGGUUUAAAGACCCGAAUCGUUUGACUUAAUCAACAAUCAAUCUAAUUAUUUUAUUUGUUUAUGUAUAUAGAUAUGGUUGGAAGCACACUCGCGAAAAUACUCGACAAACAUUGCCUUGAGGGGCACAAUUUCCCAUUGUGGUAUCGUAAUGUCAAGAUUCUCCUAACAUUGGAGAAGAUUGUUUACGUACUAGACAAGGCUCCACCUCACAUACCUCUUAGCCCUGAGGCUACUGAGGAUGAACGUGCUAAGUAUGACAAGCACGUUGAGGAUGAUAUACAAGCCAAGUGCUAUUUGUUGGCUUCCAUGAAUGAGGAGCUACAGAGACAGCACGAGGGCAUGGACAGUGCAUUUUCCAUAAUACUCCAUCUUACGGAGUUAUAUGGCGAAGGGGCGCGCAACCGUCGCUUUAGCACUGUCUGUGAGCUUGUAAAGACCAAGAUGGUCAAGGGGGCUCCAGUACACCAACAUGUACUGAAGAUGAUAGGAUUCAUUGAACAAUUGGAGAACCUUGGUACUCCACUUGACGGGGAAUUGGCCCAGGACUUCGUAUUGGCUUCUCUUUCUGAUUCAUUUGCGCAGUUCGUAAUGAACUACAAUAUGAAUAAGAUGGAUAGUUCUCUCUCUGAGUUACUAAAUAUGUUAGUAACUACCGAGAAGACUAUGAAGAAAGAGAACGUUGUAGGGACUGCUGCAGUAGCCUACAAUAAGCCAUCCUCUUCCAAGGCCAAGCCGCAAGGCAAAGGCAAAGGGAAGGAGAAGAAGUCCCCCACUCCUAAGCCGAAAGGAGGAGUGAGGAAAAAGAAGGCAAAGGAGCCCAAAGGGACUUGCCACCACUGUGGAAAGGAGGGGCAUUGGAGGAGGAAUUGUAGGUUAUACCUUGCAAGUCUAAAUGACAAGCCACAAGGUAUGGUUUAUGUUCUUAUCUUCAAUUCUAAAUGUUAGAUCUUCUAAAUAUUUAUAUUUGAUAUAAAGAGCUAAUCACUUGUAUAAUUGUAUAUAGGUGGAGAAGCCAAGUAGAAGAUGAACAAGCAAGGAAAACAUGGUGAAGGGUUCGGCCACUAUAUUUUUGCUUACUACUUAGAAAGUUUGUUAGGCAUUAAAGAUUGUCUUUAAACUUUCUUAUUUUGUUAAGAACUUAUUAUAUGGCUUCAUAUGAUGGAAGACCACUAAUAGUGCCUAAAUGUAUAAAGGUAUUUAUAUUAGUCUCUAAAUGUAUAGAGCUAAUAUUUUUUUUUGUAUUAAACAUUAUGAAUGUUUGAAAUAUCAUAUUAAUGUAAUGUGAUGAAUGCCUUUUUAAAUAUACUAUUUCCUUAAAGUAGUGUUAUGAAUUAAAAAAUUGUCUUGUUGUAUCCUAGAUGAGAUACAAGAGUUAUAUCACUUAUUGUAAUGUGAUAAACCAAACUUUAGAUUUAUCAAUUAUGGAUAGAUCUCACAUGUAGGACAUAAAAGGAUACAAUGAAUCUUUAGAUUUGGUUCCAUUUGUCUACCUAUGAGUUCUAUAUGAAUUGACAAAACUCUAGAGAUUCCUUUCUUGAAGAAAAGGAAGAUCACAUUACAAUGAUAUAAGUAAUAAGAAAAACGUUUCUUAUAUGGUUGUCACUUGAAACACAAUGAUCAAGAUCACUCUUGAUUCAAUUAGUAGUUUUGAACAUCUAAUUGGGCAUUCUUUAAAAGUUUUAAAAUGUCAAUUGUGUUAGUGAUUAAACCAAGAAAGAAGUAUCUAAAUCUAUAAAAGGUUUAAAGACUUUAGCUACUUAAAUAAACAAGACAUUAAAACUUAGUGAAGAUUGAAACAAAUAAGCUUGAAAUGUUUUAAAGCUACUACACAAUGUCUUCUACCAAUAUAAUCCACUUUUAUACAUUUUGUAUGUAUGAAAUGAUUUCUCAUUAAAGUCAUGAGAAAUAGUGGGAGGUGUGAAAAUGGAUAUAAACUUUAAUAUGAUUGGUUUAUAGUUGUCUAAAGAAUAAUAGUACUUGACUAUUAUUAAGAGUUUGCAAUUUUAAUUGUUAAAAGACUCAAGCUCUUCAAACGUUAAAAUUCUAUGUUGUGUGACAUUCUAAAGAAUAGUCUUUGAAUGUUGGUUUCGUCAACCUAGCAUAAAAUGGUUAUAUGUUGGGAGUUGUCCAUUAUAUUCUUUUAUGAGAACAAACUAAUUACAAAGCAUAUGGACAAGUUGAUGAAACAAAAGGGGAUUAGUUUCAAAAUGAGUCACAACAUAUGGUUUAACAAAGAGACAAUCCAAAUUCAACAUCUCAUGUAACGAUGUUGCUCUAUGUAGUUUUGAUAAAGAAUUAUAUCAACCACCUAGAAGGAAUGGUUGAGUUUCUAUAACCUUAGUAGGAGCCAUGCUUCCACUAAGGAAUUGGAUAAUUCUUCUAUGACUACAUUAAAGGUCUUAGUAUGACUAAAACUUGUAGUAUGGUGUAUGACAUCGUAUAAUUAAAUGAAUGGACUUGAUAAAACAAGUCACAUAUUCAAAAGGAAUUACUUUAGAAGGAAUUCUUUUGUAUGUGAUUCGUUUAAAUAACUUGUGUUAGCUAGGGUUGUUAAUGGUCUCAAAAUUGUUGAGACAUCAUCAAUAAGCUAAUGGAUCUCAAUGAUUCUUAAUGGAUCCAAGACAAGUUAGUGGGAGCAAUAUGCAUUCAAAUUAAGAAAAAUGUAAGUGUUAAAUUUUUGAAUGAAUGCUAAGUUACGACAAGACCAUUGGGAGUGAUGUUAUAAUUUGAGCAACAUGAUGUGAAUAAAGUCUAUUUGAUAGACUUAAUAAAACAUAGAUGUUACUCGAGAAAUGACAAAACAUGACAUGGUCAAUUUUGAAGUAUAGACUUGAAAUUGGACUUAUUGAUAUAGCAAGGCUAUCUCAAUAAUGUUAUAUGGGAAUUAAAUCUCAAAUGUUGUAGAUUUAAGAAAGCAUUUUCCUAUGUGAUAGGAAAUCACUUUCAUAACCCUUAUAAUGAAUGUGUCAUAAAAUCACAAAAGGGACACAUGUAUUGACUUGUGAAGUAGAUAUCCAAAGGUGAAGAACCACAGGGGUUGUCACUUUAAGAUAUUACUAUAUCCCAGGAUCAGAACCAAAGCAACUGAUAGAGUAUUAUUGCCUUUAAGAAAGAAACAUCAGAGUGGGACUCUGGAAGCGUGCAUUCACUUAGGUUGUUAACCAAAGUGAAAAAUAAGCCAUUUUAACAAAUGGAACUUCAUAAUGGAUGAAGUACUAAUCAUAUGAAUGAAUUGUUAGUAUUGUACUACAAUGGUCUCAAGGUUGGAGCAAAGUUUGUAUAAAGUAUACAAACGAAAUAUAUGACGAUAAUAUAUAGUUUUAGAAACUGCUUCAAAAGGUGUUUUGAAUGGAAGGGGUUCUUUUUAGAACCAAUGAUUGAAUCCAAACCAUAAGGUCGUUAGUAGGGUACUACGACGUAAUGGGGCGAUAGCUCAAGCCAUGGAAUCAAGGUCUCAUCAAAGUAUUCGAACACAAUAAAAAGAGACAUCAUCAAAUGUUUUGGAAACAUUUGAUAAGUGAAAUCCCUUUUAAUAAAAAGGGAUUAAUACAUAACCAAGUUAACCUACGAGCAUAAGCUCUCUCAACAGCAUGAUGUAUAAGAUACACUAGUGAUUGACUUUAGUGCAAGUGGGAGAUUGUUGGAAAUAUGCCCUGAAAGUCAAUCUUUGGAAAGAAACCUUUCAGGACAAAUGAAUGGAUGUAUAGAUGAUUCUUAUACAUCAAAUGGCAAAGAUACUAAUUAGGACUAUCUCAAUAAACGAUAUAUGUCCUAAAUAGUGUAUCCAUGGACAAUGGAUCGAUUGAAGAAGUAAUCUAAUGAUGUUAGACUACAGAGACCUUCUUCACAUAACCAUUAUGUCCAAAAGGUUCCUAGGUCAUUGGAUUGUCGGAGGGAUACUGACAAUGCUUAGACCGGUACAUACUGUGUCUGCUUCAAAUGGAAGGAUGGAAAGUCUCAUCCCAUUCGUGUUGUGACACUAAGACAAGUAUGUAGGUGCUCAUUAAGGGAAUGAGUUCACUGAACACAAUCGAACGAGAGUACUUGCAUGGAGGUCUACUCACAUGUCAAGCAAGUAACUCUAAUGGUUGGAAUAAUGUAAGUAGUCCUUUGACCUGAGGCAUCGUCGUUGUCUUGUGGUUAAGUACUUAAUCUUUGAUUAUGUCAAAGUCACUCCCAUUCAGAGGUGUCCACGGCAUAGUUGGGGUUAAGCCACUUAGUCAUGAAGGCAAGUGUAUGCGCAACAAGGAAUCUCUAAUCCUCGAUAAAGAGAGGAAGAAUACUCUAAGAUAUGAUUCGGGAAUCUUCGGCCGAAGUAUCGAGCGUAUUAAAAGGAAAGCGUUCCUAUACGACUCAAAAGAAUCAUAUAAGAAGGAAUAAUCACAUUAGGGGUUUGACAUAAUAUAUCCAUACCCUAGUAAUGUGAUUGAGAGUAUUGUAUUUAGAGAAGGAUCGAAUUACAUUGUAAUUCCAACUGAAUAGGUUCUCCGAAUAAACUUCUACAUUAGCUUGGGUAGCUAUGACAUAUGGUUAGAUGUCACUCAUAGCUUGUGAGUUCUUCUAGAUGAUUAAAUGUAGUCAUCAAAGAAGAAGGUGAAUUGAAAAUGAAGUUUUCAAUUCACUAAGUGAUUGAAUUAAAUAUAAUCGAAUUGGAUUGGUGCCAAUCACCUCACUGCCUUGCUAAUUAGAACCUAAAAAGAUUGUUCACCAAUACACUAUUGUAGUGAGUAAUUAAUGGAUGAUGGAAACAAUUAAUUGGAUUAAUUAUGUGUUGUGAUUAAUUUAGAAAGUCUAAAGAAAUCAUAAAAAGCGAUAAAGAUCGUUUUGGGGGCUUAAAGAAACGUUCGGGUUUAAUUGGGCCCAUUGGGCCUAAACCCAUUGGGCUUUUAUUCAAGCAUUGGAUGACUUGAAAUAAAUGAAAAGCCCAAAGCCCAAACAACACAAAGAGGGCCGGCCACUUUAGGUAGGAAAAGGGGUGAGAUAUUUAGUCAAGUUGUUGGCUAGGUUUCUUUUGUCUAUAUAAGGAACUUUAUAGAGAUAAAGUUCAUUAGGGGUUUUUUUGAAGUGUUAAAACAACAAAGAGGCAAAAGAAAAAUAGCUCUCUAUACACUACAAAGUCCGGCCACCUUAAGGGUGUUUUUACUAACAUAUCUUACACCCUUUUGGUUAUUCCUUCAUCCUUCUCACUACACUAGUGGGUGAGGAUCUUUAGAGGUUUCCUACUUUGGAAACUUGAAGAGAACCUAGGAGCACUCAUUCUAACAAAGUGGAGGAGGCAAGGAGGGAAGCUAGGCUCAAGGAGUUCAAGGAACAAAGGGCUUGGAGGUGGUCCAUCCUUGGUCUCUCAAGUCUAGAUCAAGAGGUAUAAGACUACUAAACCUUCACUUUGUUCUUCUCUAUAAAAUUGUUUUGAUGCAUUAUAUAUAAACCUAUGAACCUUGAAGGGGAUUUGCAUGACUAUAGCUUUGAUAAUUUGUUAUAAAUGCUUCCGCUGUUUUCGUAUAUUAAAUUUUGAUUUGUAUAUGCAUGAUAGUCCUUUUGAAAUCCCAUUCUAGAAUCUCAUAAAUUUCCCUUCAGACGGGAGGUAUCGUCCGGCUGCAAGACGUUAAAGAAAGCGCUUCUUGGGAGGCAACCCAUGUAUUCAAAAAAAGGAAGAUCUAUGAAUCGCUCUACAAUCAGUUUUGCGUUUCUAAAAACCUUCACUUUUCUGCAUUUCUAUUUUGCCAUGAUUGUCAUUUUUUUAUUUUUGUUGUUUAUUUAAUUAUUUUUGGGUGUGGGUUUAUUUUUGAAACAUUGAUAAAUAUGCAAGAUAUUCUUACAUUCUUUUUCAUGAAAAAAAAAAAAGGGAACAUUAAGCAAGAAAUUACAAGAGGGAGCCUUCACAAAGGCUGCUUAGGAGAAGUCUCAGUAGUUGGCGGAGCCCCAGAAGGAGGAGGCAGCGGAGGUUGAUCAUUUGGAGCUUCAGUACGCGGUACAGCCCUAGAAGACGAAGGUAAAUGCUGUUGGAACAAGC